Long non-coding RNA from Helianthus annuus (common sunflower), 332 nucleotides. RefSeq lists it as uncharacterized. NCBI's taxonomy places the organism in Eukaryota, Viridiplantae, Streptophyta, Magnoliopsida, Asterales, Asteraceae. The record is from RefSeq and is a predicted model, not a curated record. The transcript has 4 exons.
UCGAGAUUCUGAAGGAAGAUGGACUGGCAACUCAGAAAUUGAUAGCCGUAUCAACUGUUCAAACCAAUGAUAAAUUUACUAGCAGACACAUUCAGAAGGCCAAGGUAUAUGAUAAAUUUGCUUCUCGGACGGUUUGGAACAUGUUACAGAGUUUUAUGAUGAUUCUAUUGUAUCCCAGGCCGAGAAAACGACAGAGGUUGCGCUGAGAUGCGUCUCCUUUGACAGAGUGAAGAAGAGUAGUGCAUAAUUGUUAAUGGCAAAUGGCGACAAAUAGCGAUAAGGUACCAACUGGUUAUCUUAUUUGGGUUCAUUAAGUUGCAAUUUAUACAAAC